AUUAAACGCUGGCGGCAGGCCUAACACAUGCAAGUCGAGCGGUAACAGGGAGCUUGCUGCUGGAUUGAGCGGCGGAGGGGGGAGUAAUGCCUAGGAAUCUGCGUGGGAGUGGGGGAUAGGGUCCGGAACUGGGCGCGAAUACCACAAACGCCCUGAGGGAGAAAGUGGGGGAUCGUGGGCUUUCACGCUCUCAGCUGAGCCUAGGUCGGAUUGGCUAGUUGGUGGGGUAAAGGCUUACCAAGGCGACGAUCCGUAGCUGGUCUGAGAGGAUGAACAGGCACACUGGAACUGAGACACGGUCCAGACUCCUACGGGAGGCAGCAGUGGGGAAUAUUGGACAAUGGGCGAAAGCCUGAUCCAGCCAUGCCGCGUGUAUGAAGAAGGCCUUCGGGUUGUAAAGUACUUUUAGUUGGGAGGAAGGGAAUCAAGUUAAUACCUUGCUUCUUUGACGUUACCCGCAGAAUAAGCACCGGCUAACUUCGUG
RNAcentral lists this ribosomal RNA (484 nucleotides) under uncultured bacterium. Its description in RNAcentral is "partial 16S ribosomal RNA". It matches the Rfam family "Bacterial small subunit ribosomal RNA", at positions 30 to 507 of the family's 1533-position model. The record is from RNAcentral.